UACGUAGGGGGCUAGCGUUGUCCGGAAUCAUUGGGCGUGAAGCGCGUGUAGGCGGUCCGGUAAGUCCGCUGUGAAAGUCGGGGGCUCAACCCUCGAAUGCCGGUGGAUACUGUCGGGCUAGAGUGCGGAAGAGGCGAGUGGAAUUCCUGGUGUAGCGGUGAAAUGCGCAGAUAUCAGGAGGAACACCAAUUGCGAAGGCAGCUCGCUGGGACGUAACUGACGCUGAGACGCGAAAGCGUGGGGAGCAAACAGG
This 253-nucleotide ribosomal RNA is filed under the name uncultured bacterium. RNAcentral describes it as "partial 16S ribosomal RNA". It matches the Rfam family "Bacterial small subunit ribosomal RNA", at positions 524 to 776 of the family's 1533-position model. The record is from RNAcentral.